This 419-nucleotide ribosomal RNA is filed under the name uncultured bacterium. Its description in RNAcentral is "bacterial SSU rRNA". It matches the Rfam family "Bacterial small subunit ribosomal RNA", at positions 355 to 787 of the family's 1533-position model. The record is from RNAcentral.
UGGGGAAUAUUGGGCAAUGGGCGCAAGCCUGACCCAGCAACGCCGCGUGAGGGAAGAAGGCCUUCGGGUUGUAAACCUCUGUCCUAUGGGAAGAAAAAAAGUGACGGUACCAUAGGAGGAAGCUCCGGCUAACUACGUGCCAGCAGCCGCGGUAAUACGUAGGGAGCGAGCGUUGUCCGGAAUUACUGGGCGUAAAGGGUGCGUAGGCGGUUAUUUAAGUCAGAUGUGAAAUACUUGAGCUUAACUCAGGGGCUGCAUCUGAUACUGGGUGACUAGAGUGCAGGAGAGGAAAGUGGAAUUCCUAGUGUAGCGGUGGAAUGCGUAGAUAUUAGGAGGAACACCAGUGGCGAAGGCGGUCGCCUGGUCUGUAACUGACACUGAUGCACGAAAGCGUGGGGAGCAAAUAGGAUUAGAUACCC